This is a small nucleolar RNA of Zalophus californianus (California sea lion), 80 nucleotides long. Its record names the gene SNORD115. It matches the Rfam family "Small nucleolar RNA SNORD115". From Rfam's summary of the family: HBII-52 is a member of the C/D class of snoRNAs, which contain the C (UGAUGA) and D (CUGA) box motifs. HBII-52 is encoded in a tandemly repeated array with another C/D snoRNA, HBII-85, in the Prader-Willi syndrome (PWS) region of chromosome 15. HBII-52 is exclusively expressed in the brain but is absent in PWS patients. NCBI's taxonomy places the organism in Eukaryota, Metazoa, Chordata, Mammalia, Carnivora, Otariidae. The record is from Ensembl.
GGGUAAAUGAUGAAAACUUAUAUGUCUUGAAGAGAGCUAAUGACCUAAGAAUCAUGCUCAGUAGGAUUGCACUGGGGCCC